This 583-nucleotide ribosomal RNA is filed under the name uncultured bacterium. RNAcentral describes it as "partial 16S ribosomal RNA". It matches the Rfam family "Bacterial small subunit ribosomal RNA", at positions 355 to 935 of the family's 1533-position model. The record is from RNAcentral.
UGGGGAAUUUUGGACAAUGGGCGAAAGCCUGAUCCAGCAAUGCCGCGUGUGUGAAGAAGGCCUUCGGGUUGUAAAGCACUUUUGUCCGGAAAGAAAUCCUUGGCUCUAAUACAGUCGGGGGAUGACGGUACCGGAAGAAUAAGCACCGGCUAACUACGUGCCAGCAGCCGCGGUAAUACGUAGGGUGCAAGCGUUAAUCGGAAUUACUGGGCGUAAAGCGUGCGCAGGCGGUUUGCUAAGACCGAUGUGAAAUCCCCGGGCUCAACCUGGGAACUGCAUUGGUGACUGGCAGGCUAGAGUAUGGCAGAGGGGGGUAGAAUUCCACGUGUAGCAGUGAAAUGCGUAGAGAUGUGGAGGAAUACCGAUGGCGAAGGCAGCCCCCUGGGCCAAUACUGACGCUCAUGCACGAAAGCGUGGGGAGCAAACAGGAUUAGAUACCCUGGUAGUCCACGCCCUAAACGAUGUCAACUAGUUGUUGGGGAUUCAUUUCCUUAGUAACGUAGCUAACGCGUGAAGUUGACCGCCUGGGGAGUACGGUCGCAAGAUUAAAACUCAAAUGAAUUGACGGGGGUCAUAGCUGUUU